Molecule: ribosomal RNA, 107 nt
Organism: Lepisosteus oculatus (spotted gar)
Lineage: Eukaryota; Metazoa; Chordata; Actinopteri; Semionotiformes; Lepisosteidae
Source: Ensembl
GCUUACGGCCACACGUCUCGUCUCGUCUGAUCUCGGAAGCUAAGCAGGGUCGGGCCUGGUCAGUACUUGGAUGGGAGACCGCCUGGGAAUACCAGGUGCUGUAAGCU